Maylandia zebra (zebra mbuna) is the source of this 233-nucleotide long non-coding RNA. RefSeq lists it as uncharacterized. Lineage: Eukaryota; Metazoa; Chordata; Actinopteri; Cichliformes; Cichlidae. The record is from RefSeq and is a predicted model, not a curated record.
CUGGAGGUUUUGAUCCACAGCAAUUUAAAAGGAGGACAGAGCAAAACGGACAUCGGCGCAGAGUGAAGAACUGCCCUUGAUAAGGACACUAUGACAGCCAUAUAUAUGGCGGUAAGGAAGGGGUUUCCCAGCGUGUCCAGAAGGGCUUUGAGGAUUGCCGUGAAAGCUGGGGGAACUGAGACUGCUGGAAAAGGAAAAGAAAUUACAUUUUAAGUAUGCUGACUUAUGUUCAU